CCCUUAGAUGUUCUGGGCUGCACGCGGGCUACACUGAUGCACUCAACGAGUUUACGACCUUGCCCGAUAGGGUUGGGUAAUCUUUUUAAAAUGCAUCGUGAUGGGGAUAGAUUAUUGCAAUUAUUAAUCUUCAACGAGGAAUUCCUAGUAAGCGCGAGUCAUCAGCUCGUGCUGAUUACGUCCCUGCCCUUUGUACACACCGCCCGUCGCUCCUACCGAUUGAGUGCUCAGGUGAAUAAUUCGGACUGCAGCAAUGUUUGGAUCCCGAACGUUGCAGCGGAAAGUUUAGUGAACCUUAUCACUUAGAGGAAGGAGAAGUCGUAACA
RNAcentral lists this ribosomal RNA (326 nucleotides) under uncultured eukaryote. RNAcentral describes it as "partial 18S ribosomal RNA". It matches the Rfam family "Eukaryotic small subunit ribosomal RNA", at positions 1470 to 1796 of the family's 1831-position model. The record is from RNAcentral.